UACGUAGGGUGCAAGCGUUGUCCGGAAUUAUUGGGCGUAAAGAGCUCGUAGGCGGUUUGUUGCGUCGGCUGUGAAAUCCCGAGGCUCAACCUCGGGUCUGCAGUCGAUACGAGCAAACUAGAGUGUUGCAGGGGAGACUGGAAUUCCUGGUGUAGCGGUGAAAUGCGCAGAUAUCAGGAGGAACACCGGUGGCGAAGGCAGCUCGCUGGGACGGUACUGACGCUGAGGCGCGAAGGCGUGGGGAGCGAACAGG
This 253-nucleotide ribosomal RNA is filed under the name uncultured bacterium. RNAcentral's name for it is "partial 16S ribosomal RNA". It matches the Rfam family "Bacterial small subunit ribosomal RNA", at positions 524 to 776 of the family's 1533-position model. The record is from RNAcentral.